UGGGUCUGCAGCAGGACCCAAGGGUGGGGUUGUUCGCCCAUUAAAAGGGAUCGUGAGAUGGGUUUAGACCGUCGUGAGACAGGUUUGUUGCUUGGUGGUUGAAGUGUUUAGUGUCUGAUGGAAGAGGCCCUUCAGUACGAGAGGAACGAGGGCUUGGGGCCACUAGUUUACCAGUUGUCUGACAAGGCAAUGCUGGGUAGCCACGCCCUGAUGGAUAAGAGCUGAAAGCAUCUAAGCUCGAAACCACCCCAUAAACGAGACACAUAUUUCAUAACUCGUAAAAGACGAGAUUGAUAGACUGCGGAUGUAA
Molecule: ribosomal RNA, 310 nt
Filed under: Euryarchaeota archaeon TMED279
Lineage: Archaea; Methanobacteriati; Methanobacteriota
Also listed under: 1 other name
Description: bacterial LSU rRNA
Rfam family: Archaeal large subunit ribosomal RNA
Source: RNAcentral